UUUUAUUUGAGAGUUUGAUCCUGGCUCAGGAUGAACGCUGGCGGCGUGCCUAACACAUGCAAGUUGAGCGAUUUACUUCGGUAAAGAGCGGCGGACGGGUGAGUAACGCGUGGGUAACCUACCCUGUACACACGGAUAACAUACCGAAAGGUAUGCUAAUACGGGAUAAUAUAUUUGAGAGGCAUCUCUUGAAUAUCAAAGGUGAGCCAGUACAGGAUGGACCCGCGUCUGAUUAGCUAGUUGGUAAGGUAACGGCUUACCAAGGCGACGAUCAGUAGCCGACCUGAGAGGGUGAUCGGCCACAUUGGAACUGAGACACGGUCCAAACUCCUACGGGAGGCAGCAGUGGGGAAUAUUGCACAAUGGGAGAUACCCGGAGGCAGAAACUCUGGGUGAGUGAGGAAGGCCUUCUGGUCGUAAACCUCUGUCCUCAAGGAAGAUAAUUACGGUACUUGUGGAGGAAGCCACGGCUAACUAAGUGCCAGCAGCCGCGGUAAUACGUAGGGGGCUAGCGUUAUCCGGAUUUACUGGGCGUAA
Molecule: ribosomal RNA, 537 nt
Filed under: Clostridioides difficile
Lineage: Bacteria; Bacillati; Bacillota; Clostridia; Peptostreptococcales; Peptostreptococcaceae
Description: bacterial SSU rRNA
Rfam family: Bacterial small subunit ribosomal RNA
Source: RNAcentral